Myotis davidii is the source of this 75-nucleotide non-coding RNA. NCBI's taxonomy places the organism in Eukaryota, Metazoa, Chordata, Mammalia, Chiroptera, Vespertilionidae. The record is from Rfam.
GGCGGUUCUCAGGUGAUGCACCCCAGAAUCGGGCUCCCUCCUCUCUGGUUCUGGGUGCAUCACUCAAGAACAGCA